UGGAGGGAUGGAGGAGAAGAGAAUGUACACUCCCAUCUGAAUCUGUGUUUGAAAUUAAAUUUUUCAUUUAUUCCCAGACUUAUAUUAAACUUGUGUUACACAAGAAUGCAUUUUAUUACUUCUUGUCUGAAGUGAAUUGAUUCAUUUUGUGGCUCAGGUUGGGCUAAUGGCAUCACUUGGUGUCCAUCAUCUGUUAAUUUUAACAAAAAUCUUCUUCUCUGACAUGUAGCUAGGCUAAUAAUCUGUGCAGUUUUGUAUUCAAUGUGCAUUUUUUGAUCAAAUUAUUCAGAGGUCAGACUAGUAUAUUAUCUGCAAUAUAUAGAUUUGUAUGCCCUAUCAACAAUAUGAGGAGAGCUUUGUGUGUUACAGUCUCUCAGACUCGGUCAUUCCCAAGGUCACUGAACAUUUGGCAAAGGCCAGUAAAAAUUGGUUUGGUCCAGUUAAGUGAUAUGCAUUAAUUGACCAAAUGACCAGUUAAAUUUUAAUUGUGUCCAAAUUAUAUGUGUAAAUGUCCUGUAAAAAAUAGUCUGGUCCAGUUAAGAAGAAUGGUUUACUGGACCAAAUGUCCAGUUGAUUUCUAAAAGCUAUGGAACCACUGCAGUCUGUACCAUUUGGGGUUAAAGUGUUGGUUUAAGAUGGUUUACUAUGAAGUUCAACUGGUCACACAAACUGGAAACUUAGUAGAUAUGUUCAUUACGAUGUUUACAUAUAAAUAAAUAGGCUAAAUUAGGAUUCUGACCUAGAUUUCACUAUACAUCACCGUGUUUACCGUGAAGUUGGGGUCACAUAGUACAACUUUCAUUAUGAUGUAAAUUUUAAAAAUAUAUGCCAAAAUAGGGUUUUGACCAAGAUUGCAUGGUUUCAUGAAUAUGUAAAUGGAAAUAUAGUGUGAGAGAGGCAUUGUUUCCAAUGGACAUAUAUUCUUGUUAUUUGUGAAUUUUGAGAGAGAAAAUACAGAUAGUGACUAGACCAGAGAUAUAAGGGAAACAAUUGCCUUGUUUUCUGAAUUUGUUUUAAUAAAAAGAUUUAUUUGAAAAAUCCUUGGACUGCCAUCAGUUAUAUAGCAAACUUUUAUUUUAUUUUGUUCAGAUUUUUUUUUUAUAAUCUAUAUUUGCGGUAUGAAAGGGAUUCAAACUGAAAUUAGGUUUGAUAUAACAAUAUUAUACAUCAUAAAAACUUCAUGACAUGUUCCUGUAUAGUCUAUUACCUAUUUACAUAAAAUAGCUGUAUUUUUUCUGUUUAUACAAUUAUGAUGUCAGUGAUUUUUAUACGACCGCAAAAAAAUUUUGUGGUCGUAUAUUGGUAUGAUGUUGGCGUCUUCGUCGUCGUCCGAAGACACAUUGGUUUUCGCACUCUAACUUUAGUUUAAGUGAAUGGAUCUCUAUGAAAUUUUACCAUAAGGUUCAAUACCACAAAAGGAAGGUUGGGAUUGAUUUUGGGGGUUAUGGUACCAAGAGUUAAGGAAUUAGGGUCCAAAAAGGGGCCAAAAAUAAGCAUUUUUGUAACUUCCAGACAUAACUUGUGUGUUAGUGUAUGGAUCUCUCUGACAUUGUACCUCAAGUAUCCAUAUCACAAAGGGAAUGCUGGGAUUGAUUUUGGGGAUAAUUGCCUCAAAAUUUUAGGAAUUAGGGGCCAAAAAAAGGGGCAAAAAACAAGCAUUUUUCUAGUUUCAUGACAAUAACUUGUGUGUUAGUGUAUGGAUCUCUCUGAAAUUGGACUGCAAGGUACCAUACCACAAAUGGAAGGCUGGGAUUGAUUUUGGGAGUAAUUGCCACAAUGUUUUAGGAAUUAGGGGCCAAAAAGGGGCAAAAAACAAGCAUUUUUCUAGUUUCAGGACAAUAACUUGUGUGUAAGUGUAUGGAUCUUUAUGAAAUUGUACUACAAGGUUCCAUAUCACAAAGGGAAAGCUGGGUUUGAGUUUGGGGGUAAUUGCCCAAGACGUUUAGGAAUUUGAGGCCAAAAAGGGGCCCAAAAACAAGCAUUUUUCUAGUUUCUAGACAAUAACUUGUGUUCAAGUGUAUUGAUCUCUCUGAAAUUGUACUGCAAGGUACCAUACCACAAAUGGAAGGCUGGGAUUGAUUUUGGGAGUAAUUGCCUCAAAGUUUUAGGAAUAAGGGGCCAAAAAGGGACCAAAAAUAAGCAUUUUUCUAGUUUCCAGAGAAUGACUUGUGUUCAAGUGUAUGGAUCUCUCUGAAAUUGUACUGCAAGGUACCAUACCACAAAUGGAAGGCUGGGAUUGAUUUUGGGAGUAAUUGCCUCAAAGUUUUAGGAAUUAA
Mytilus californianus (California mussel) is the source of this 2276-nucleotide long non-coding RNA. RefSeq lists it as uncharacterized. The record is from RefSeq and is a predicted model, not a curated record. The transcript is spliced from 2 exons. NCBI's taxonomy places the organism in Eukaryota, Metazoa, Mollusca, Bivalvia, Mytilida, Mytilidae.